Molecule: ribosomal RNA, 484 nt
Filed under: uncultured bacterium
Lineage: Bacteria
Description: partial 16S ribosomal RNA
Rfam family: Bacterial small subunit ribosomal RNA
Source: RNAcentral
ACUCAAAUGAAUUGACGGGGAGGUGCACAAACAGCGGAGCGUGUCCUUUAAUUCGAUGCUAAGCGAAAAACCUUACCAGGGCUUGACAUCCUUGGAAUCUUGGCGAAAGUCGAGAGUGCCGCAAGGAACCAAGUGACAGGUGUUGCAUGGCCGUCGUCAGCUCGUGUCGUGAGAUGUUUGGUUAAGUCCAAUAACGAGCGCAACCCUUAUGAUUAGUUGUAUUUUUCUAGUCAGACUGCCCUGGCAACAGGGAGGAAGGAGGGGAUGAUGUCAGGUCUGUAUUACCCUUACGUCCUGGGCUAGAGACGCGCUACAAUGGUCGGUACAACGGGAAGCCAAAUCGCGAGAUGGAGCAAAUCCCACCAAAGCCGAUCUCAGUUCGGAUUGCAGGCUGAAACUCGCCUGCAUGAAGCUGGAGUUGUUAGUAAUCGCAGGUCAGCACACUGCGGUGAAUACGUUCCCACCUCUUGUACACACCGCCCGU